This 453-nucleotide ribosomal RNA is filed under the name uncultured bacterium. RNAcentral's name for it is "partial 16S ribosomal RNA". It matches the Rfam family "Bacterial small subunit ribosomal RNA", at positions 29 to 507 of the family's 1533-position model. The record is from RNAcentral.
AUGAACGCUGACAGAAUGCUUAACACAUGCAAGUCCACUUGAACUUCGGUUUGGGUGGCGGACGGGUGAGUAACGCGUAAAGAACUUGCCUCACAGCUAGGGACAACAUUUGGAAACGAAUGCUAAUACCUGAUAUUAUGAUUUUAGGGCAUCCUAGAAUUAUGAAAGCUAUAUGCGCUGUGAGAGAGCUUUGCGUCCCAUUAGCUAGUUGGAGAGGUAACGGCUCACCAAGGCGAUGAUGGGUAGCCGGCCUGAGAGGGUGAACGGCCACAAGGGGACUGAGACACGGCCCUUACUCCUACGGGAGGCAGCAGUGGGGAAUAUUGGACAAUGGACCAAGAGUCUGAUCCAGCAAUUCUGUGUGCACGAUGAAGUUUUUCGGAAUGUAAAGUGCUUUCAGUUGGGAAGAAAAAAAUGACGGUACCAACAGAAGAAGAGACGGCUAAAUACGUG